RNAcentral lists this ribosomal RNA (460 nucleotides) under uncultured bacterium. RNAcentral describes it as "partial 16S ribosomal RNA". It matches the Rfam family "Bacterial small subunit ribosomal RNA", at positions 338 to 795 of the family's 1533-position model. The record is from RNAcentral.
CCUACGGGAGGCAGCAGUGAGGAAUAUUGGUCAAUGGGCGCAGGCCUGAACCAGCCAAGUCGCGUGAGGGAAGACUGCCCUAUGGGUUGUAAACCUCUUUUAUAAGGGAAGAAUAAUGACUACGUGUAGUCAGAUGCCCGUACCUUAUGAAUAAGCAUCGGCUAACUCCGUGCCAGCAGCCGCGGUAAUACGGCGGAUCCGAGUGUUAUCCGGAUUUCUUGGGUUUAAAGGGAGCGUAGGUGGAUUGUUAAGUCAGGUGGGAAAGUUUGGGGCUCAACCGUAAAAUUGCAGUUGAAACUGGCAGGCUUGAGUACAGGAGAGGUGGGCGGAAUGCGUGGUGUAGCGGUGAAAGGCUUAGAUAUCACGAAGAACGCCGAUUGCGAAGGCAGUUCACUGGACUGCAACUGACACUGAGGCUCGAAAGUGUGGGUAUCAAACAGGAUUAGAUACCCCAGUAGUC